ACAUUACGACAAAUGUUGUCUGUUUUAUAUCUCUUUCAAUCUGUAUGGUAUAGAGAGAAUGUAAUUCUGUUGGUGUGAUCUUGAGUAGAAAUGCCCAGAUCUUUCUCAGUAAUUGAAGACUAAAUUGGCCAAAAUAAUCACUUUAUACCUUGGAUGAUUAGAUUAUCAUGGGUUUCAGAUGCAGAUUCAGAUUGAUGAUUAAUUUAAGAAAUGAAGUACAGAAGAAUUAUUUUAGCAUUUUUACAGUGUUUCUGCCUUGGAAAAUUGAAGAAAGACUUGAAAAUCUAACAGCUUAUUUGGAGGAGCUUUUUGAGGGAAAGGUAUGGAUUUUUAAAGUACCCUGCCUAUUUGGGAAGAAAGCUUUCAAAACCUUCAAAACCCUCACUUUUUCAGCUUUGGUGGUUGUGAAGUUUUUCUUACCUUACCUUCCAUUACCUUUUCUUAACUUACUUUAUAAACCCUUUCCUCACUCAUCCAAAUACAAUCUAACUCCAAGUCUUGGAAAACUAAG
This 511-nucleotide unclassified non-coding RNA is filed under the name Hevea brasiliensis (rubber tree). The record is from RNAcentral. Lineage: Eukaryota; Viridiplantae; Streptophyta; Magnoliopsida; Malpighiales; Euphorbiaceae.